Molecule: ribosomal RNA, 301 nt
Filed under: uncultured bacterium
Lineage: Bacteria
Description: partial 16S ribosomal RNA
Rfam family: Bacterial small subunit ribosomal RNA
Source: RNAcentral
CAGCAGCCGCGGGAAUACAGAGGGUGCGAGCGUUAAUCGGAUUUACUGGGCGUAAAGCGUGCGUAGGCGGCUUUUUAAGUCGGAUGUGAAAUCCCUGAGCUUAACUUAGGAAUUGCAUUCGAUACUGGGAAGCUAGAGUAUGGGAGAGGAUGGUAUAAUUCCAGGUGUAGCGGUGAAAUGCGUAGAGAUCUGGAGGAAUACCGAUGGCGAAGGCAGCCAUCUGGCCUAAUACUGACGCUGAGGUACGAAAGCAUGGGGAGCAAACAGGAUUAGAUACCCCUGUAGUCCCUGUCUCUUAUAA